Molecule: unclassified non-coding RNA, 304 nt
Filed under: fungal sp.
Lineage: Eukaryota; Fungi
Description: partial internal transcribed spacer region
Rfam family: Eukaryotic small subunit ribosomal RNA (bases 1-46)
Source: RNAcentral
AAGUCGUAACAAGGUAACCGUAGGUGAACCUGCGGUUGGAUCAUUAGUAAAUUUUGGGAACUUUUUGUUCUCCAACACUGUGUGCACCAUUGUCUGUCUCUGGCGGAACCAGGAGGUUUUGGACCUGACCUGCACCCGUUUCCGGGUGUCAAGGAUCCAUGGUCUGGGUCUCCCUCCGCCGAAUGUUUUAACAUAACCCAUGUCUUUUGUAUUUUGUCUGAUCUUGGAUUCUUGGUCUGUCGCCGUGAGGUGUGCAGCUGAAAAUCUUUUAAAACAACUUUUGACAACGGAUCUCUUGGCUCUC